AUAGUCGCGGCCGUCGUCGGUUCCGUUUUGGAACCAAGAGGGAAUGCGGUGAGGGCGAAUUGUUUGCCCAAUGCCGUGGCUGCCCCCGCAACUGUGUGCGGUAGUCCUCUCCAUAUGCCACUGAAGAGUCUCUUCGAAGAUCUCUUCGGGAAGGUGGGGAAGGGCGCUGAUCCGCGAGCCAGGAGACCUGCCGGCGACAGGAGAACUGAC
This 210-nucleotide non-coding RNA is filed under the name Mesorhizobium ventifaucium. The record is from RNAcentral. Lineage: Bacteria; Pseudomonadati; Pseudomonadota; Alphaproteobacteria; Hyphomicrobiales; Phyllobacteriaceae.